Molecule: long non-coding RNA, 2059 nt
Filed under: Sus scrofa (pig)
Lineage: Eukaryota; Metazoa; Chordata; Mammalia; Artiodactyla; Suidae
Description: lncRNA (ENSSSCG00015013448.1)
Source: RNAcentral
AAUUUUAUUGGAGUAUAGUUGACUUAUGAUGGUAUAUUGGUUUCAAGUGUACAGCAUAGUUACUCAGUCAUACAUAUAAAUAUAACCAUUCUUUUUUCCCAUAUAGGUUAUUACAGACUGUUGAGAUUUUCCUGUGCUAUACAAUAGGUUCUCAUUAAUCAUCUAUUUUAUACAGUAGUGUGUGGAUGUGUGUGUGUGGGUUAUUCCCACCCACCCAAUUCUUCCCUCCUCCCCAAUGGUUUCACCUAUGAUAGCUAUAAGACUGGUUUUCAAAUCUGCAAGUUUGCUUCUGUUUUAUAAGUUCUUUUGUAUCUUUUUUAGAUUCCACAUAUAAAUAUAUCAGAUGAUAUUUGUCUUUCUCUGAUAUACUUCACUCAGUAUGAUAAUCUCUGGGUACAUCCAUAUUGCAACCAAUGGCAUUAUUUCAUUCUUUUUUUUAUGGUUGAGUAAUAGACUAUUGUAUAUAUGUAUGUACCACAUCUUCUUUAUCCAUUCAUCUGUCGAUGGAUUUUUAGGUUGUUUGCAUGUCUUGGCUGUUGUGAACAGUGCUACUAUGAAGAUAGGAGUGCAUGUAUCUUUUUGAAUUACGGUUUUCUCUGGCUGGAAUCCCAGGAGUGGGAUUACUGGGUCGUGUGGUAGUUCUGUAUUUAUUUUUUUAAGGAACUUCCACACUGUCCUCCAUAUGUAAAAAGGUAUUCUUAAAAGAAACAGAAAGAGCAAGAAAUGGAAAGGAAGAGAAGAUUACCUUUGUUUGCAGGUGUUAAGAUUGUUACAAAAUAAAAUAUAAUCUAUAUAUUAUAUGAUACUUAGUAAAAGAAUUCAAUAUGAUAUUGGAUGCAAAAAGUCAAUGGCCUCGCACAAGUAGCAAGUUAGAAAACUUCCAUCCAAAACAGGAUCUCAAGCAAGCAGCCAUAAACAUGGUAAGAUUCAUAAAGGGGAGAAAUAUAAGAAAAUAUGCAUACAAUGUUCUAGGAGAAAAAUUACGCUAUCCUGUCAGCAAACAGAAAAUUCCUAUAAACCAUGUUUAUUGGUGGAAAGACUCAGUAGCUUAAAGAUGUCAAUUGUGCCCAAUAAAGUUUAAUCAAAAUCAAAUAGGCUUUUUCAUAGAAUUAGACAAGUUGAUCCUAAAAUUCAUAAGAAAAUACAAAAGGGCAACAUAGUUAAGAUUGAAGAAAAUAGUUGGGAAGAUUUACCCUAUCAGAUAUCAGACUUAUAAAAUUAUAAUCAUUAAGACAGUGUGCUAGGAGCUCAAAGAAAGCAAGCCAGAUGGACAGAAUAAAGAGAUGAAGUGCCGACAGAUCUAGCACGUGAUAGGAGGCCUGGCUUUUCCAACCAAUGGGAGAAGAUGGACGACUCAGUAGAAGUUAGACAAUUAGUUGUUUAAAUGGUAGCUUAUACCAUUCAUGAAAGUCAACUUCUGAUGGAUUAGAAACCUACGCAUGAAAAACAAAACUGUAAAACUUUCAGAAAAAAAUAUAGCAUCAUGUCCUUAGGACUCAGAGAUAAACAAGACACAUGAAAUACAUCCACUAUAAAGGAAAAUACUAAUAGAUUUUACAUUAAAAUGAAAUGAAUUUGUUCAAAUAAAGACAAAAUGCAGUGAAAGAAUAAGCUAUACACUGGAAAAAUGUAUUUGCAACAUGAAUAAAUCAACAAGGAUUCAGUAAACAAAACAUGCAAAGAGUUUCUAAAUAUCAGUAAGUGGAGCUCCCACUGUGGCACGGUGGGUUAAGGAUCCAGCAUUGCUGCAGCUAAAACAUAGGUCAUAGCUGCAGCUCGGAUUUAAUCCCUGGCCCAGGAACUUCCAUACACCACAGGUACAGCCAAAAAAAAAAUUUUUUGUUUUUUGUCUCUUUGGCUGCACCCGUGGCUUAUGGAGGUUGCCAGGCCAGGGGUCUAAUCAGAGUUGUUGCUGCCAGCCUACGCCAGAACCAUAGCAACGCCAGAUCCGAGCCGCAUCUGCAACCUACACCACAGCUCACGGCAACACCGGAUUCUAACCCACUGAGUGAGGCUAAGGAUCAAACCCACAAUCUCAUGGUUCCUAGUCGGAUUCAUU